UUAUUGGUGGUUCCAAACUUCUUCCAUUUAAGAAUGGUGGAGGCCACUGUGUUCUUGGGGACCUUCAAUGCUGCAGAAAUGUUUUGGUCCCCUUCCCCAGAUCUAUGCCUCGACACAAUCCUGUCUCGGAGCUCUAUGGACAAUCCCUUCAAACCUCAUGGCUUGGUUUUUGCUCUGACAUCCACUGUCAACUGCGGGACCUUAUAUAGACAGGUGUGUGCCUUUUCAAAUCAUGUCCAAUCAAUUGAAUUUACCACAGGUGGACUCCAAUCAAAUUGUAGAAACCUCAAGGAUCAUCAAGUUGAAGAAACAUCUUAAGGAUGAUCAAUGGAAACAGGAUGCAUCUGAGCUCAACUUCGAGUCUCAUAGCAAAGGGUCUGAAUACUUAUGUAAAUAAGGUAAGCAUUUUUAAUACAUUUGCUCAAAUAAAAAAAUAAAAACUGUUUUCACUUUGUCAUUAAGGGUUAUUGUGUGUAGAUUGACGAGGAAAAACAUUCAUUUAAUUUAAUCAAUUUUAGAAUAAGGCUGUAACGCUUCAAAAUGCAGAAAAAGCUCAGGUGCACAGGUGUUUAUAGGUACACAGGUGUUUAUAGGUACACAGGUGUUUAUAGGUACACAGGUGUUUAUAGGUACACAGGUGUUUAUAGGUACACAGGUGUUUAUAGGUACACAGGUGUUUAUAGGUACACAGGUGUUUAUAGGUACACAGGUGUUUAUAGGUACACAGGUGUUUAUAGGUACACAGGUGUUUAUAGGUACACAGGUGUUUAUAGGUACACAGGUGUUUAUAGGUACACAGGUGUUUAUAGGUACACAGGUGUUUAUAGGUACACAGGUGUUUAUAGGUACACAGGUGUUUAUAGGUACACAGGUGUUUAUAGGUACACAGGUGUUUAUAGGUACACAGGUGUUUAUAGGUGCACAGGUGUUUAUAGGAGCACAGGUGUUUAUAGGUACACAGGUGUUUAUAGGUACACAGGUGUUUAUAGGUGCACAGGUGUUUAUAGGUACACAGGUGUUUAUAGGUACACAGGUGUUUGCAGGUUCUGUGGUUACAUCAAACACACUCAGAAGAAGAGAUUCAAGGUUCUGUGAUUACAUCAAACACACUCAGAAGAAGAGAUUCAAGGUUCUGUGAUUACAUCAAACACACUCAGAAGAAGAGAUUCAAGGUUCUGUGAUUACA
Long non-coding RNA from Oncorhynchus keta (chum salmon), 1186 nucleotides. RefSeq lists it as uncharacterized. NCBI's taxonomy places the organism in Eukaryota, Metazoa, Chordata, Actinopteri, Salmoniformes, Salmonidae. The transcript is spliced from 3 exons. The record is from RefSeq and is a predicted model, not a curated record.